This 301-nucleotide ribosomal RNA is filed under the name uncultured bacterium. RNAcentral describes it as "partial 16S ribosomal RNA". It matches the Rfam family "Bacterial small subunit ribosomal RNA", at positions 509 to 808 of the family's 1533-position model. The record is from RNAcentral.
CAGCAGCCGCGGGAAUACGUAGGUGGCAAGCGUUGUCCGGAUUUAUUGGGCGUAAAGGGAGCGCAGGCGGUUUAGUAAGUCUGAAGUUAAAGGCAUUGGCUCAACCAAUGUAUGCUUUGGAAACUGUUAGACUUGAGUGCAGAAGGGGAGAGUGGAAUUCCUUGUGUAGCGGUGAAAUGCGUAGAUAUAUGGAGGAACACCGGUGGCGAAAGCGGCUCCCUGGUCUGUCAAUGACGCUGAGGCUCGAAAGCGUGGGUAGCGAACAGGAUUAGAUACCCCCGUAGUCCCUGUCUCUUAUACA